Molecule: ribosomal RNA, 760 nt
Filed under: uncultured Pseudomonas sp.
Lineage: Bacteria; Pseudomonadati; Pseudomonadota; Gammaproteobacteria; Pseudomonadales; Pseudomonadaceae
Description: bacterial SSU rRNA
Rfam family: Bacterial small subunit ribosomal RNA
Source: RNAcentral
CAUGCAAGUCGAGCGGUAGAGAGAAGCUUGCUUCUCUUGAGAGCGGCGGACGGGUGAGUAAAGCCUAGGAAUCUGCCUGGUAGUGGGGGAUAACGUUCGGAAACGGACGCUAAUACCGCAUACGUCCUACGGGAGAAAGCAGGGGACCUUCGGGCCUUGCGCUAUCAGAUGAGCCUAGGUCGGAUUAGCUAGUUGGUGAGGUAAUGGCUCACCAAGGCGACGAUCCGUAACUGGUCUGAGAGGAUGAUCAGUCACACUGGAACUGAGACACGGUCCAGACUCCUACGGGAGGCAGCAGUGGGGAAUAUUGGACAAUGGGCGAAAGCCUGAUCCAGCCAUGCCGCGUGUGUGAAGAAGGUCUUCGGAUUGUAAAGCACUUUAAGUUGGGAGGAAGGGCAUUAACCUAAUACGUUAGUGUUUUGACGUUACCGACAGAAUAAGCACCGGCUAACUCUGUGCCAGCAGCCGCGGUAAUACAGAGGGUGCAAGCGUUAAUCGGAAUUACUGGGGCGUAAAGCGCGCGUAGGGUGGUUUGUUAAGUUGGAUGUGAAAUCCCCGGGCUCAACCUGGGAACUGCAUUCAAAACUGACUGACUAGAGUAUGGUAGAGGGUGGUUGGAAUUUCCUGUGUAGCGGUGAAAUGCGUAGAUAUAGGAAGGAACACAGUGGCGAAGGCGACCACCUUGGACUAUACUGACACUGGAGGUGCGAAGCGUGGGGGAGCAACAGGAUUAAGAUACCCUGGUAGUCCACGCCGUAAA